GUGCCAGCCGCCGCGGUAAUACGGAGGGUGCAAGCGUUAUCCGGAAUCACUGGGUUUAAAGGGUGUGUAGGCGGUAUUUCAAGUCAGGCGUGAAAUGUUCUUGCUUAACGAGGAACGUGCGUUUGAAACUGAAGUACUUGAAUUAGGUUGAGGUUAGCAGAAUGUGACAUGUAGCGGUGAAAUGCAUAGAUAUGUCAUAGAAUACCGAUUGCGAAGGCAGCUAACUGGCCCUAUAUUGACGCUGAGACACGAAAGCGUGGGGAGCGAACAGGAUUAGAAACCCUUGUAGUCC
This 292-nucleotide ribosomal RNA is filed under the name uncultured bacterium. Its description in RNAcentral is "partial 16S ribosomal RNA". It matches the Rfam family "Bacterial small subunit ribosomal RNA", at positions 505 to 796 of the family's 1533-position model. The record is from RNAcentral.